This 380-nucleotide long non-coding RNA is filed under the name Ananas comosus (pineapple). Its description in RNAcentral is "long non-coding RNA (ACOM_LNC042577)". Lineage: Eukaryota; Viridiplantae; Streptophyta; Magnoliopsida; Poales; Bromeliaceae. The record is from RNAcentral.
AAAUUUCAGACACCACCCUAUAGUUUCGCAUGAUCUUACUUUAGUACUCUAUAGUUUAAAGUGUAUCAAGUUAGUGUGCUGUAAUUUUAUUUUUAUUUUUUUCGUCAGCUUCUUCUUUAAUAUUUCGCUAAAUUAUAUACAAAAAAUUUUAGAUACCCCAUCCAGGUUUAUCGAAUAUUCAUUUUAGUACCUUUUAGUUUUAACUUUGUCACUGGUUUAACGAAAAAAAUUAGUAGAAUCGAUAAUAAAAAGAUAAAAAUAAAACUAUAGAACUCUAAAUUAAGAUAUUUUAAAGUACAUGGUACUUAAAUGAGAAAGUGUGAAAUCACAGAAAGAGUAUUUGAAGUUUUUCCAAAAGAAAAAGAAAAAUUUGAGUGAGG